ACAACGGAGAGUUUGAUCCUGGCUCAGGAUGAACGCUAGCGGCAGGCCUAACACAUGCAAGUCGAACGGUAACAGAUCUCGCUUGCGAGAUGCUGACGAGUGGCGCACGGGUGCGUAACGCGUAUGCAAUCUACCUUUAACUGAGGAAUAGCCCAGAGAAAUUUGGAUUAAUACCUCAUAGUAUUAUUUAUAGGCAUCUAUUUAUAAUUAAAACUCCGGUGGUUAAAGAUGAGCAUGCGUCCUAUUAGCUAGUUGGUAAGGUAAAAGCUUACCAAGGCUACGAUAGGUAGGGGGCCUGAGAGGGUGACCCCCCACACUGGUACUGAGACACGGACCAGACUCCUACGGGAGGCAGCAGUGAGGAAUAUUGCGCAAUGGAGGAAACUCUGACGCAGCCAUGCCGCGUGCAGGAUGAAUGCCCUAUGGGUUGUAAACUGCUUUUCUGCAAGAAGAAACCUUAGUACGUGUACUAAGCUGACGGUAUUGCAGGAAUAAGCACCGGCUAACUCCGUGCCAGCAGCCGCGGUAAUACGGAGGGUGCAAGCGUUAUCCGGAUUUAUUGGGUUUAAAGGGUCCGCAGGCGGAACUUUAAGUCAGUGGUGAAAGCCUACAGCUUAACUGUAGAACUGCCAUUGAUACUGAAGUUCUUGAGUGUGGUUGAAGUGGGCGGAAUAUGUCAUGUAGCGGUGAAAUGCAUAGAUAUGACAUGGAACACCAAUUGCGAAAGCAGCUCACUAAACCAUUACUGACGCUCAUGGACGAAAGUGUGGGUAGCGAACAGGAUUAGAUACCCUGGUAGUCCACACCGUAAACUAUGAUCACUAGAUGUUGGCGAUAUAAUGUCAGUGUUAAAGAGAAAUCGUUAAGUGAUCCACCUGGGGAGUACGUUCGCAAGAAUGAAACUCAAAGGAAUUGACGGGGGCCCGCACAAGCGGUGGAGCAUGUGGUUUAAUUCGAUGAUACGCGAGGAACCUUACCAAGGCUUAAAUGUAAAACGACCGGUUGAGAAAUCAAUCUUUUUUCGAACGAUUUACAAGGUGCUGCAUGGUUGUCGUCAGCUCGUGCCGUGAGGUGUCGGGUUAAGUCCCAUAACGAGCGCAACCCCUAUUUUUAGUUACCAGCGAGUAAUGUCGGGAACUCUAAAGAAACUGCCCGUGCAAACGGAGAGGAAGGUGGGGAUGACGUCAAAUCAUCACGGCCCUUAUGUCUUGGGCUACACACGUGCUACAAUGGUUAUUACAAUGAGAUGCAAACUGGUGACAGUAAGCUAAUCUAUAAAAAUAACCUCAGUUCGGAUCGGAGUCUGCAACUCGACUCUGUGAAGUUGGAAUCGCUAGUAAUCGCACAUCAGCCAUGGUGCGGUGAAUACGUUCCCGGGCCUUGUACACACCGCCCGUCAAGCCAUGGAAGUUUGGAAUACUUAAAGUCAGUCACUGAAAAGAACUGCCUAGGGUAAAACAAGUAACUAGGGCUAAGUCGUAACAAGGUAGCCGUACCGGAAGGUGUGGCUGGAAUACCUCCUUUUUAGA
Molecule: ribosomal RNA, 1529 nt
Filed under: Flavobacteriales bacterium
Lineage: Bacteria; Pseudomonadati; Bacteroidota; Flavobacteriia; Flavobacteriales
Description: bacterial SSU rRNA
Rfam family: Bacterial small subunit ribosomal RNA
Source: RNAcentral